This 339-nucleotide long non-coding RNA is filed under the name Panax ginseng (ginseng). RNAcentral's name for it is "long non-coding RNA (PGIN_LNC005525)". The record is from RNAcentral. Lineage: Eukaryota; Viridiplantae; Streptophyta; Magnoliopsida; Apiales; Araliaceae.
UCCGACCUGAAAUCACUAUAUUACUACACGGGAAUUUAUGUACUUUGAUAUCAUCAAAGUUCACCUUUAAUAGGAUGGACUAUAAAGGUGAUUAUUGGGUACAUCAUGAAUCGUGUGAGGAAUAUGUAUUAGGGGUGAUAUCCAUAGGCCACUUGAUUGAGUAGGACUAUGAAAUGCAUGGCCAUGCUCAAAUAGUGAUUUGUUUCAUAUAGUCUACUCAUUGAUCAAGAAAAACUCAGAUUAAAUUAUGAAGAGUAUGACACAUUUCAUGACUCGAGUUUAAUCUAGGAUAUUAAGGUUAAAAGGAUUAAAUUACAUUGAAACAUUGGUCACGAAAAG